GAUGAACGCUGGCGGCGUGCCUAAUACAUGCAAGUCGAGCGAACAGAUAAGGAGCUUGCCCCUUUGACGUUAGCGGCGGACGGGUGAGUAACACGUGGGUAACCUACCUAUAAGACUGGAAUAACUCCGGGAAACCGGGGCUAAUGCCGGAUAACAUUUAGAACCGCAUGGUUCUAAAGUGAAAGAUGGUUUUGCUAUCACUUAUAGGUGGACCCGCGCCGUAUUAGCUAGUUGGUAAGGUAACGGCUUACCAAGGCAACGAUACGUAGCCGACCUGAGAGGGUGAUCGGCCACACUGGAACUGAGACACGGUCCAGACUCCUACGGGAGGCAGCAGUAGGGAAUCUUCCGCAAUGGGCGAAAGCCUGACGGAGCAACGCCGCGUGAGUGAUGAAGGUCUUCGGAUCGUAAAACUCUGUUAUUAGGGAAGAACAAAUGUGUAAGUAACUGUGCACGUCUUGACGGUACCUAAUCAGAAAGCCACGGCUAACUACGUG
Molecule: ribosomal RNA, 497 nt
Filed under: uncultured bacterium
Lineage: Bacteria
Description: partial 16S ribosomal RNA
Rfam family: Bacterial small subunit ribosomal RNA
Source: RNAcentral